Molecule: ribosomal RNA, 389 nt
Filed under: uncultured bacterium
Lineage: Bacteria
Description: bacterial SSU rRNA
Rfam family: Bacterial small subunit ribosomal RNA
Source: RNAcentral
GACGAACGCUGGCGGCGUGCUUAACACAUGCAAGUCGAGCGGUAAGGCCCGUUUCGGGGGUACACGAGCGGCGAACGGGUGAGUAACACGUGGGUGACCUGCCCUCAGCUCUGGGAUAAGCCUGGGAAACCGGGUCUAAUACUGGAUAUGACUCCAUGACGCAUGUUGUGGGGUGGAAAGCCUUGUGCGGCUGAGGAUGGGCCCGCGGCCUAUCAGCUUGUUGGUGGGGUGAUGGCCUACCAAGGCGACGACGGGUAGCCGGCCUGAGAGGGCGACCGGCCACACUGGGACUGAGACACGGCCCAGACUCCUACGGGAGGCAGCAGUGGGGAAUCUUGCGCAAUGGGCGAAAGCCUGACGCAGCGACGCCGCGUGAGGGAUGACGGCCU